Molecule: ribosomal RNA, 744 nt
Filed under: uncultured Pseudomonadota bacterium
Lineage: Bacteria; Pseudomonadati; Pseudomonadota
Description: bacterial SSU rRNA
Rfam family: Bacterial small subunit ribosomal RNA
Source: RNAcentral
AUUGAACGCUGGCGGCAGGCCUAACACAUGCAAGUCGAGCGGAUGAGAAGAGCUUGCUCUUCGAUUCAGCGGCGGACGGGUGAGUAAUGCCUAGGAAUCUGCCUGGUAGUGGGGGACAACGUUUCGAAAGGAACGCUAAUACCGCAUACGUCCUACGGGAGAAAGCAGGGGACCUUCGGGCCUUGCGCUAUCAGAUGAGCCUAGGUCGGAUUAGCUAGUUGGCGGGGUAAUGGCUCACCAAGGCGACGAUCCGUAACUGGUCUGAGAGGAUGAUCAGUCACACUGGAACUGAGACACGGUCCAGACUCCUACGGGAGGCAGCAGUGGGGAAUAUUGGACAAUGGGCGAAAGCCUGAUCCAGCCAUGCCGCGUGUGUGAAGAAGGUCUUCGGAUUGUAAAGCACUUUAAGUUGGGAGGAAGGGCAGUAAGCUAAUACCUUGCUGUUUUGACGUUACCGACAGAAUAAGCACCGGCUAACUCUGUGCCAGCAGCCGCGGUAAUACAGAGGGUGCAAGCGUUAAUCGGAAUUACUGGGCGUAAAGCGCGCGUAGGUGGUUUGUUAAGUUGGAUGUGAAAGCCCCGGGCUCAACCUGGGAACUGCAUCCAAAACUGGCAAGCUAGAGUACGGUAGAGGGUGGUGGAAUUUCCUGUGUAGCGGUGAAAUGCGUAGAUAUAGGAAGGAACACCAGUGGCGAAGGCGACCACCUGGACUGAUACUGACACUGAGGUGCGAAAGCGUGGGGA